UACGGAGGGUGCAAGCGUUAUCCGGAUUCACUGGGUUUAAAGGGUGCGUAGGCGGACAGGUAAGUCAGUGGUGAAAUCUCUGGGCUUAACCCAGAAACUGCCGUUGAUACUAUUUGUCUUGAAUAUCCUGGAGGUAGGCGGAAUAUGUCAUGUAGCGGUGAAAUGCUUAGAUAUGACAUAGAACACCGAUAGCGAAGGCAGCUGGCUACGCGAAUAUUGACACUGAUGCACGAAAGCGUGGGGAUCAAACAGG
Molecule: ribosomal RNA, 253 nt
Filed under: uncultured bacterium
Lineage: Bacteria
Description: partial 16S ribosomal RNA
Rfam family: Bacterial small subunit ribosomal RNA
Source: RNAcentral